UAAAGUUGGCUUGACGUUGGACGUUGGAUAUUCGCAAAUCUAGGGACCGUCUCUAAAGUUACACGAGAAACUACUAUACACUUCUCUAACGUCAAUAGCAUGCAAGGAGAAUGACUAACAGUCACGAAAACAACUUUUAACUGUUCAUCCAGGUGUCAACUAUAAUGCACACCUUUUAUAUUUUUUGAUAAUUAUUAAAAUAAACUGUAAAUCAUGUGGAAAACAAUUGCUACUUUUCAUUACCGAAUGGACUUAAAUACAAAUUGAAAGCUCAAUAACAUUUGAACAGAAUGAUUCACUUUCAUAAAACAUACUGUAAAGUGUUCAUCUAGGUGUCAGCUAUAAUGCACACCUUUUAUAUUUUUCAUAAUUAUUCAAAUAGACUGUAAAUCAUGUGUAAAAUAUUGCUACUUUUCAUUACCGAAUGGGCUUAAAUACAAAUUUAAAGCUCAAUAAAAAUUUAACAGAAUGACUCACAUUCAUAAAACAUACUGUAAAGUGUUCAUCUAGGUGUCAGCUAUAAUGCACACCUUUUAUAUUUUUCAGAAUUAUUCAAAUAGACUGUAAAUCAUUUGUAAAAUAUUGCUACUUUUCAUUACCGAAUGGGCUUAAAUACAAAUUUAAAGCUCAAUAAAAAUUGAACAGGAUGACUCACUUUCAUAAAACAUACUGUAAAGUGUUCAUCUAGGUGUCAGCUAUAAUGCACACCUUUUAUAUUUUUCAUAAUUAUUCAAAUAGACUGUAAAUCAUGUGUAAAAUAUUGCUACUUUUCAUUACCGAAUGGGCUUAAAUACAAAUUUAAAGCUCAAUAAAAAUUGAACAGAAUGACUCACAUUCAUAAAACAUACUGUAAAGUGUUCAUCUAGGUGUCAGCUAUAAUGCACACCUUUUAUAUUUUUCAUAAUUAUUCAAAUAGACUGUAAAUCAUGUGUAAAAUAUUGCUACUUUUCAUUACCGAAUGGGCUUAAAUACAAAUUUAAAGCUCAAUAAAAAUUGAACAGGAUGACUCACUUUCAUAAAACAUACUGUAAAGUGUUCAUCUAGGUGUCAGCUAUAAUGCACACCUUUUAUAUUUAUCAUAAUUAUUCAAAUAGACUGUAAAUCAUGUGUAAAAUAUUGCUACUUUUCAUUACCGAAUGGGCUUAAAUACAAAUUUAAAGCUCAAUAAAAAUUGAACAGGAUGACUCACUUUCAUAAAACAUACUGUAAAGUGUUCAUCUAGGUGUCAGCUAUAAUGCACACCUUUUAUAUUUUUCAUAAUUAUUCAAAUAGACUGUAAAUCAUGUGUAAAAUAUUGCUACUUUUCAUUACCGAAUGGGCUUAAAUACAAAUUUAAAGCUCAAUAAAAAUUGAACAGAAUGACUCACAUUCAUAAAACAUACUGUAAAGUGUUCAUCUAGGUGUCAGCUAUAAUGCACACCUUUUAUAUUUUUCAUAAUUAUUCAAAUAGACUGUAAAUCAUGUGUAAAAUAUUGCUACUUUUCAUUACCGAAUGGGCUUAAAUACAAAUUUAAAGCUCAAUAAAAAUUGAACAGAAUGACUCACAUUCAUAA
This is a long non-coding RNA of Carassius gibelio (silver crucian carp), 1553 nucleotides long. RefSeq lists it as uncharacterized. The transcript is spliced from 5 exons. NCBI's taxonomy places the organism in Eukaryota, Metazoa, Chordata, Actinopteri, Cypriniformes, Cyprinidae. The record is from RefSeq and is a predicted model, not a curated record.